AGACAUGUCUCCAAACAUGAAAUAUACAGUCACCAACACCACCGACCCUCUGGCUCUCAGCCUGACUGCAAAGUCCAGCUGAGGCCAGCAGACAUCCCAUGAGCUAUGCUGUAUGGCAGCCCCUGUGUCGCUGGUAAGCAGCAGUGUCACAAUGCAAGCCAGCAGUACUCAGCCUGGCAGAUUGCUAGAAUCAGUGGGGACACACUGACCCAUGAACACUCCCAGUUCUGAGCCAGGCAGUGACCUGAAUGGGCAGACGAGUGAAGAAAGCAAAGUCCACAGUUCAGACAAGAUCCAGCCAUCCCCAAGCAGGGAAGUGGCCCCAUCUCUGGCCGGUGCCCUCGGGAUCACCUGGCUUAAGAAUAAAGAGGCUUCAGGCACAGCUGGUGGGAACAGACUUGGAAUUGCUUUUUAAGACAUUCAGGGCAGGACACACAGGCAGAACUCUUUGGGCUACAUGCUUGGAACAAUCAACAGGAGUGGUUUAAAAUCACAGUCCAGGACCUCCCCCCACCAGCUUGGACCUGGAUGCCAGGCAGACCAGCUUCAUUCUCCCUGGGACCACGGUGGGGGCGAGUCUCUUGUUGGUGCUCCACAAUCCAGGAAAGGUUACAGAGUGGAAACGAUCAGCCCGUCGACACUGCUCGUCCCAGACGUGGUCCUGGCAUCCCUCUCCUGUGUCCCACACCAGGUGUUCCAGCACACAGCCCCUCUGCACCUCGGCUUCACCCUCUGUGACACCGGGACUCUGACAGCGACAGCCUGAGCCUGUGACAAUGACGAGGAUUCACGCCUGUAUGCUCAGCCUUGCCUCUUCCGUCAUUUCCGCACAGCCCGGACCCUACGCUGUCGGUGUGGGGGGGUCCUUGCACCUUGGGAGUCGAAGGCCAGAGCAGUUGCCAUAGUUUACUCCAAGGCGCUGCCUCUACAUGGGGUGUGGAGAUAAGGACGCCCCACAGGUCCAGGGCAGAGGCGUGGAGCCGGGCCGCCGCCCGCUGACCGCACACGUGCUGGACACUGCCUCAGCUCUCCCAGCCCUGGGACUCUGCCUCUGUCCAGACAGGAGGACCCUGGCCAGCAGUGGACCGAGCUGAAGAAAAGGACAGUGAGGCAAUAUAGCCCUGGUCCUGGACACUGCCCUGCUGCAGAGACGUCCAGGCCCUGCUCACCCAGAUCCGACUCAGGCCACUGGGCACACAGACCCAGGAGGCCCAGGCCAGGAUGGCUCUGCAGCGCCCCCGCCUCUCCCCAGUCGCAAAGACCCACCCGGAUUGUCCCUGCCCUGGGCUCCUGCCGCCAGGCCAGGUGAAGGCAGGCACCUACAAGCUGUCCUUCAACCCUGAGGGCUACUGGAAGAAGAGUGGCCAGGAGAGCUUCUACCCAUAUGUGGAGGAGGGCUAGACGGGUGGAGGCCAGUGAUGCACUGUGACCCGCAGGCCUGUCCUACCCCAACCCCUACCACUGAGCACCUGCUCUGAGCUCCCUUGACCACAACACACCCAUGCCACCUCACCCCAUGAGAAAUUAGUCCGCUGGGGGCUGUGUGUGUGAUGCUUUAGGGGGAAGAAAUAGUGAGAAACAAGUCCAUGGGUGUUUUUGUUAAUUUUAAUAUAUAUAUUAAAUAUAUACUCCCAUAUUUGACAGAGUAUAGUUGACUUUGAAUGUUUCAUGUGCACAGCAAUUUGACUCUGUGAUCCAUAUACACACACAUUAUUUUUGAAAUGAUUAUCCAUUCCAUGGUAUUACAACAUAGUGACCAUAGUUCCCCUGUGUUAUAUGUAAACCUUUGCUGUUUGUUGCAUAUCUUUCUUUUUUAAUUAAAAAUGUAGCAUCCUAUUCCUACUACAUCAAACAAGUGGAAUCCAAUGUGAAAAAAAUUCUAGUAGGGCAAAAUUUCAUAAGGUUUCUAAAAUAGAUAUACACAUUAUUCAUAUAUAUGGAUACAGAAGCUUUACUACUACAGGUGAUGAGGGCCAGAGAAAGAACAUCAGAGAAAAAGGAGAGAUGUAGGGAUUGGAGAACAUCAACUAACUGACAUGGGGGCUCUGAAGAGAAAAUAUGAAAGUGAAACAAAUGAGGUCAACAUAAGAAGUCAUCAUACAGUUCAGCUGUUUAAACAUAGAUUUCUGUUCAGUAGACACCUAUGUGGGUCUCUGGCCAAAGAAGAAAGCAGUACCUGGGCAUUUGUAUUUUUCAAAAAAUUCCAAGAUAAUUCUGAUAUGCUCCUGAUUUUGUAAAGUGAUUAGAGGUUUUCCAUGGUACUUUUGGUGAUAUAGAGUCCUAUUAUUUUUCCCAUUGACCAUUCCAAGACCUUCUGCAUUUGCUUAGGCACAUUCCACCUCAGUUCACAUCCCAGGAAGCUGUAUCUGCCUUAGGCUCUGGUUGCCACCACCCACCCCACCCAUCCCCGGGGAGCAAGUGGUGGGCAAGAAAAAGUGUUGCCACCUUGUGAACACUUCCUAUAACUACAACUUGACCACAGGGCACUCAAGGCACCUAGAAUUCACAAGGCCUGGGGUUAUGUGAAUGACAGUUGACUUCAGGAAAUGUCCUGGGGUGGGUAUUGCAGAAAUAAAUUCCAGACACAACCGACUCUCAGGAAGUCAACCGCCACCAAUAAAUUUUCCUCACACCCCUUAAGGAAAAACAAAAUGCACCUAAACCUCCACCGCAAGAAACCAAACUCAGCAUCCUUAAUUGCUGCAGGAAUGUCAAUCAGAGCCACAAUGGGAAAUCAAAUCCAUCAGUCACAAUGCUCAUCCUCACACGUCUACAAAGAAUACACGCUGGUGAGAACCUGGAGGAAAAUGAAUCCCCUACACUGUAUGUGGGGGGAAAAAAGUUGGCAAUUGUCAGUGCAAUGGACACUCUCCGAAUACCUGAAACAAAAUUCUCAAGAGGCACUAAUGCUAGGACUUGGCAUCCCCACACCUGGGCCUAUAUCCUGAGAAAUUCGUCGAUCAAAAGGAACCUGCACCCUGACCAAGACUGAAGCACAAACUCUAAUAACCAAGACAGACAACCAACAAAAUCUCCAAGAGGUUAAAGCUUGUACCAAAUGUGGUCUAUAUAUACGAUGGACUAUUGUUCAGCCAUACAAAUCCACCACUGAAAUUAGGGAGUUCUGACAAUGGCCAUCACACAGAUAGACUUUGAAGAGUCAGACACUAUAGGAAAUCCAUCAGGCAGAGGAAGACAGUCUCUGAUGCACCUUCCAGGCAGAGUAGAAACUGACACACUAACACAUUUACAACCAGAAAAGAGUCUGAGAAUUCAACGCCCAAGAAAAGGUCCCCAAGGCAGGGUGCGGGGUGGGGGCGAGAGGUGGGAAGGGAGGGAAAAACCAGGAAGACAUGGAAUUCUGUAUCUGCAGUAGAUCAUCCUCUUCAUUUCUUCCUUCCUUCCUUGCACAUAUACACAGAAAUCGGUAUCUCUAACCUAUACCCAGAAAUUUGUAUCUCCAGGAGGGUAUCCAAAGAACUUAUCUCCCACCUUCACUCAUUGUAUACACAGAAAACUGAGUCUGAGGCGCAUAUUCCUCAAGGACCUGAUGCUAAGCCAUCUGCUCCACUUCUAGAGUGAAAAAUCUAGAAGAGAAUACAGAUCACCCCUAGAUACAUCAUACCUGAAUCAUGCAGCUGUACACUGACAACAGUCAUAGUAUUAUAAAUUGACUCUACUGCAACAUAGCAUGGGCAUGAUAUUAAAGAGAAGGGAAGAAAACCAGUGCUUACUUUCUUCACCCCGAUCCUGCUGACUGGGGCUGCGAUCCCAUCCUUGGAAGCCUAACCAGGCUUGGGUCCCACUGCUGGACUUGGGUGGCUUUGAGAUAGCCUGGCAGGGUGCUCUUCAUUGAACCCUUCUGAAGCGGCUGCUGUCUGCUUUGUUCUGGAUCGGACCAGAGUCCCCGCGGAAUACAGGCCUCCAGGGACUUGGGGGAAAAUAUUACCAAGGAGAUCAAACCAGUCAACCUUAAAGGAAAUCAAUCCUGAAUAUUCAU
Molecule: non-coding RNA, 4000 nt
Organism: Odocoileus virginianus texanus
Lineage: Eukaryota; Metazoa; Chordata; Mammalia; Artiodactyla; Cervidae
Source: RefSeq, a predicted model, not a curated record